Molecule: ribosomal RNA, 245 nt
Filed under: uncultured Parachlamydia sp.
Lineage: Bacteria; Pseudomonadati; Chlamydiota; Chlamydiia; Parachlamydiales; Parachlamydiaceae
Description: partial 16S ribosomal RNA
Rfam family: Bacterial small subunit ribosomal RNA
Source: RNAcentral
UACGGAGGGUGCAAGCAUUGAUCGGAAUUACUGGGCGUGAAGGGCGCGUAGGCCGAUAUGUAAGUCAGAUGUGAAAUCCCGGGGCUCAACCUCGGAACAGCAUUUGAAACUGCAAAUCUAGAGGGUAGGCGGAGAAAACGGAAUUCCACAAGUAGCGGUGAAAUGCGUAGAUAUGUGGAAGAACACCGGCGGCGAAGGCGGUUUUCUAGCUUACUCCUGACGCUGAGGCGCGAAAGCAAGGGGAU